Oryzias javanicus (javanese ricefish) is the source of this 2648-nucleotide long non-coding RNA. The record is from Ensembl. NCBI's taxonomy places the organism in Eukaryota, Metazoa, Chordata, Actinopteri, Beloniformes, Adrianichthyidae.
GUGACUGAUUUGUGUGUUUCUGCAGAUGUGUUUCCAGCCCGUGAAGUCUCGGAGCUUUGGCCUAAUCUGGUUUCUCUCUCUCCUCUCUCAGGUUCCACCUGUCGUCCCACAUAAAGCGAGUGAAAUCUCUCUUCAGAGAGGAAUGUGUUCAGAGGUAUAAAGAGCUGCUGGCCUCAACAAAGACAUGGAGCAGUGCUUUACAGGAGAUGGAGAACCGACUUCUGGGCUUCAGCUCUUUAUCGACAGGGUUGCUGACAGAUUUGGAAAUGAAUGAGCAGCAUUAUAAUAAGGUUAAUCUGGAUUUUUAAAAAUGUUUUUAACCUUCAUGUACUCCAUUAAAUUUGAUGUUUUGUUCGUUUUUGCGUUUUGUUCUUGCGUUGUGGUUUUCGGUGAAUACUUUAUCCUUGUUCUGUUUUCUCCAGAUUCUAGACAACAUCCUUUCCACCCUGCCGUGUCUGAGAGAAGAACAGCAGCAAGGAAUCACGCCCAGAGAAAAGGAUCAGAUGAUUUCCAGGAUGCACCAUUUGAGGGAGGAAAUGGAGCUGCUGGUGAGAGAACUGCAUUGUAACAACGCCAUCAUUGAAAGCCUCGGAGUGGUGAACUCUGCUGGACAGGAAGCGAGUCCAGCCCGACCUUCCACUUUGUGACAGAGAGGAUCAUCUCACAACAAAGACCCUGCAUUUCCCUCCAGGGACUUGGGCGUAAUCGCUUUCAGAACAUCAGAAAAUUAAUUGCAAUUAAAAGAAAAAAGAAAAAGAAAUCUUGCUUGCACAGAAAGACGGAUGUUGAGCCACAAAUGGACUUUUAGCCGCUGCGUUUGUGCUGACUGAGUACAGCAGUUCAAUAGAAGCCUCAUUAAUGCCUUAAGUGUUAUUGUAUUUUUAAUAGGCUUCUGGAAUGAUGGAGAGUGAGCAUGAAACAAAACCAAUGACCACUCAGCCGCUUAGUAUUUCAUUCGGUGUGUUUCCUGUUUUCUACUCAUAAAAUGUACUUAAGAAAAGAAAAUAUCUGCAUUUUUUUUUUAAAGCAUUUUCUUUUGUGUGUGUCCUACUGUAAACUCCUGGACUGAUUUGAAUCCUUUCUGUGAUCGAUACACAGAAAUAUCAGCAAAAAGAGUUUUUUUGUUUACUUGUGAUCAUCAAUAUUGUGGUUGGGGUCCUGUUACAGCAUCCCUGAGAGACGUAAAUGAUAUUGAGAUACCAAACUGUAGUGUUUUUCACCCAAACUGCUUUUUGUGCAGUUUUUUUUUAGUAUAUAGUUUUGGGAUCUUCUGUAAAAGACAGAAACGGGAAGUCUGGGAAACCCUUAAUCUUCUUGUUUUCAGGUUAUGUGGGGCUGACACAUUUCAAAAUUACCCUCGACAGUUUGGUCUUCUCUGUUUAGGGGAAAUCCCGCGCAAUGUUAUUUGUCGUUUGGUGAAUGAUAUAUACUGUAAAUAUGAGGUUAUUCAUGUAUGAAAAAAAUAAAAGUAGAUUUCUGCCUCUUUUUUCCAAUUCAGUAUGAAAAUAAAAUUAACCCAAUAUCAAUCAAACUAUAUGAAAUCAGAGAUUUAUAGACAACACUUUGAUAUUUUAAGAAAGUAAACGGUUUUUCUGAACAAAAAUAAAAGUAAACUUGUUCUCCUAAAGAGUAGUGAAAGUAGAAGUCUGAGUGUGCAGGUGGUGUGGGCGUCCUGCUGGACUUUUUCAGCUGCUUGUGGUUUUGUUGCUGCUCAUAUGACGCGCUCUUGGCGAAGUGGAAAGUUUGAUAUUUUUCUCACUCGAACAAACAAGUGAGAUUUGUUUUAGAUGUUUAUAUGGUUCCGCAUCAAAGCAGAAUUUUGUGCACACGUACCCACUUUGCCUUACAAUAAAUAUUUAGGUCAAUCUAAAAAUAAAAUGAAGAAUUUAUUUUCAUUUAUUAACAAUGCAGGACACCAAAACAAGAUGAAAUUAUAACUUAAUAAAUGAAAAGUUAAACUUAUAUAAUCUGCUCCUAUUACUAAAUAAACAAAAAUAAAUCAAAGUACAUUAAACAAAGAAAAUGAAAGUUAUCAAUAAAAAGCUAUUAAGUCCAGUUUACAUUUUAAAUAAACAUAAAUACGUACAAAUUUACAAAACAAACCCUUGUUUUUUGAUAUUUAUCUAUAAGGUUCAGGAGCAUCAUCUACUUGAAGUUUUAGAAAUUAAUUCUAUAUAUAAUAUUUGCUUAGUAUCUCAUUUUAAAGGCAGCAAAUGAAUUUAAGCUCCUUUGCUCAGUUUAUUCCAUAUGUUAGAUCCAUAUACUGAAGCAGAUCUCUCCAGCGCUUUUGUUCUAAAUCUUGAUUUUCUGAAUAUUUCAUGUCCUUUUAAGUCAACAUGAGUUUGUCUUUUAUUGAAUUUAACCUGUAAAUUGACUGGUAUUUACUGUAUUUCUUGUGUACUUUAAUACAUAAAGUUGAGAAUGUUGAAAUCAACUACAAAUGUUAGUAUUUUCAAAUGAAUAAAUAGUGAUCCUGGUGAAUCUCUAUUUACUUUUUUCUCUUUCUGGGGCUCUGCCCAUUUUAUUCAUUUUGAAGUCACUACGUGAUGACACAUGUUGCUUCUUCUUUGCCAGUUCGCCCUUGUAAAUCAGAUCUUGAUCUUAACAAAUCCUUUAUUUGGUUAAAUAAAGACAAUAAUUAAAAAAAC